RNAcentral lists this ribosomal RNA (420 nucleotides) under Fusobacteriota bacterium. RNAcentral's name for it is "Fusobacteria bacterium partial 16S ribosomal RNA". It matches the Rfam family "Bacterial small subunit ribosomal RNA", at positions 355 to 776 of the family's 1533-position model. Lineage: Bacteria; Fusobacteriati; Fusobacteriota. The record is from RNAcentral.
UGGGGGAUAUUGCACAAUGGGCGAAAGCCUGAUGCAGCGACGCCGCGUGGGGGAUGAAGGCCUUCGGGUUGUAAACUUCUUUUGCUCUGAACAAGGCAUGCCUUUGGGGUGUGUUGAGUGUAGGGGUUGAUUAGCGCCGGCUAACUACGUGCCAGCAGCCGCGGUAAUACGUAGGGCGCGAGCGUUGUCCGGAAUUAUUGGGCGUAAAGGGCUUGAAGGUGGCUGGUUGCGUCUGUCGUGAAAGCUCAUGGCUUAACUGUGGGUUUGCGGUGGGUACGGGCUGGCUUGAGUGCAGUAGGGGAGGCUGGAAUUCCUGGUGGAGCGGUGGAAUGCGCAGAUAUCAGGAGGAAUACCGGUGGCGAAGGCGGGUCUCUGGGCUGUUACUGACGCUGAGGAGCGAAAGCGUGGGGAGCGAACAGG